Stegostoma tigrinum is the source of this 2702-nucleotide long non-coding RNA. RefSeq lists it as uncharacterized. NCBI's taxonomy places the organism in Eukaryota, Metazoa, Chordata, Chondrichthyes, Orectolobiformes, Stegostomatidae. The record is from RefSeq and is a predicted model, not a curated record. The transcript is spliced from 4 exons.
GAAGCCAAGAGAAUCUGGCUUUAAGUAAAACAGAACAGUUAGAGUGAGCAUAAUCUACAGCAAAAGUGUAAGGAACGUCAUAUAGCCAGAUCACAAUGGACUGUAAAGCUAUUUUCAUUGUUAUCCCUCUCUUUCUGCUAUUUUUCACAACUGCACAAGGUGCAUCUGUGGUAAGGGUAUUAGUGAAUCCACGCUGUAAAUGCAUCAAUAAUACUUCUCGUAUGAUCAAUCCAAAGCUAAUGAAGGAUAUUGAUAUAGUUCCAGCUUCUUCCCAUUGUCCACAUGUAGAAGUGAUAGUCACACUUAAAAGUGAGCGAAGAGUUUGUCUGGACCACACUGCUACCUGGGUGAGGAAACUAGUUGACAGGCUUUUGCAGACACAAUGAUCAAAUUUUCUGAGUGAAAAUGGGUCAGGAAAAGUACAUCACAACUUGCAAGAAUCUGAAAAGCAACCUCUCACAUCCUCUGAACAAUCUUUUAAACUAUUUCCAGCACAACUGGAACUUGACAUAGGUCAAGAAGGACAUUGGGUAUGGAAAAACUAAUCAGUAGCUGAAUUGACUAUUUAAUUCAAUUUUAAAAUUUUAUUACUGUCACACAUUUGUUGCCAGGUUUUCUUAACAUGAUGCCCACAAACAGUAUAGAAAAAUCUAAUUGUUAGAAAAGAAAUUUAUGAGUAUUGCUUUAUCCAUUAUUACUUAAACUGAUAAUACUGUUUGAUCAUACUGUAAUUAUUAUAUACAUCUACAUUUCAAGUCUGUCGUUUUAUAUGCGCUCAAUUCUCAUUGCUAAAUUCAAAUACUCUGAUGACAAUUACUAAAAUACUUGUUCUAAAUGAUCUUGUUUCAAAAAGAGCAAGAAAGAUACACGAGACAGAACAAAUGAUUUUGCUGUAACCAGCUUUGCCACUGCUUAAGAUUAAAUGGAGUGAUUCAAAAUUCAACCACUUGGAAGUAGCUAAACCUAAGUUCAUUUCCAUGGUUAGGUCAUUUCAUCGACAAUCACUGGGUAUUUACCAAGUAGAAAUAUCAUGGUCCCGAUCUUCUGGUUUCUGGGUCACUGGAGAAUGGGCACAUGACCCAUGAAGCUUGCUGAUGCCCUGUGGAAGUCUUCAUGCACUGGCCUCCAUGCAAAUUGCUCAGGAAGCUGAAAAUCCUGUCUUCGAGAUCUUCAACUAAAUCUGUUACUCUGAACUAGAGUUUAACAUUUCAGACAGUUACAUGAUACUGGUUUGGAUAAUUAUUCAGGGAGUGUCAGACAGAAUAAAACCCAGUCUAACUCCUUCAUAAUUAUAGAUAGACCCCUACAAUUGCUCACACUGACCAACCCCUAACACUCAUCUUCAUGUCUCAGCAACACCCAGAUACUUCCCCUGAUGCACUUACCAACCCACCUGACUCAACUACCAUGCAACCAUCUAACUAAAUCAACCCCCAACAAAACCGGACUAGCUCCAACACCCUGAUUACCCCAUUGGAUUAACCUUGCUAAUCCCAACCUGACUACCCCUCAUGAUCCAACCCAAGCUAUCUCCAACACUCAUUCAUUCACCUACCUACUACCCUACACAGCUAACAGCUGUCACUCUACCCACCCAUGUAUGCAUCUAUCACUCUGCUACCUACCAUUCUGCUACCUGCCACCUUAGCAACCCAUCUUCCCACUUAACUGACCCACAUUUUCAUCCAUCCUAUCACCCUACCCAUUCCUUCAUUUAUCCACUUAUCCAUUUACUCUUUUACUGAUAUUCACACUAGACAUUUAAAUUUUACCACAUUUCAACCAGUACUGUAAAAACAGGGGCAUAGCUUGUCUUCCACUAACUCUACUGUGACCUGAUAGAGCUCUCCAAGUGAGGCUACGCUCCACAUUAUUGGUAAAGCUGUGUUCAGAAGACUAAACAAGCAAUGUGGAGCAGUGUUGACUUGGUCACAUUUCAAGCAGAGCAGCAAUCUGUGAUUGCCGCUCCUCGAAAGAUCCAGGCCCAUGUGUAACUGAGCUGUGCAGCUUUUCUGGCCUAACAGAACUGUAUCAAUGGGAAUUGCCAACAAACAUUCAGCUCAGGUGUUUAUCUGAGGCAUAAAACAAGUGAUUUCUACCCUUGCUAUUCAUCUCUUACUGCUACAAACCCACCCAUAACACUUAUACUCGUAGGAAAUUUAAAGUAAUGCUCCCUGAGUUGAUUCAAUCUGAAGGAAGUGAAUGUGGACAUUCCCCUGAGUGGGGGCAUGGUGGCAAAAUUGAAAAUUAGAUGCAUCAUUACAGUUUGUGGUACCAGUUGUAUUCAUGACACAGUCUAUUCUGGAUAAACAUGAUUAAAUUCAAAAGUCAGUGUUUUAUUACAUGUACUGAAUACAUACUAGAGUAAACUGGGAUGAAUGAUAAAUCAAGUAAAAUGAGGAACAACAUCACACCCUCAUGAUUUAUAUGAAAUAUAAUUUCUCCUUGUGUGAUUCUGACAGAAUCUUCCAAUCUGAACUAGGGAUAUGACAUUAGACAUAUAUCAAAGGGAAUGGAAAUCAUUAUCUGUCUACUUCCUGAUGUGAGUCUCCCAGAUAUUGAACCACAAAGGAUGUUGAAAAAUAUCUGCUUCAAAUGCUUUAAGUUCACUUUUUAUCAACGUGAAUUAUCCAUGUAGUACAAUUCUAUGUGGUCAAAUAUUCAUGUAAAAAUCAAUAAAGUUGUAAUGAAUGGUGAGCAAA